AGGCUGGAUUAGGCAUACCAAGUUAUGCUUUAUGCUCUGCCCGGUUGGGCUCCAUCCCUUUUGUUGGUCAGGAAAUUUGGCUGGAUCAAGACCAGAGAAAAGAUCACAUACAGACAUCAUAUUUUUCCAUUUUGUUGGUAAAUAUCCUUGUUUAUUUGCUAACAUUUUUAAAGAAUAGAACAGGGGUCUCCAACUCCAGGCCGAUGUCCUGAAGGUUUUAGAUAUAACCGUGGGUCAAUACACCUGAGUCACAUGAUUGGUUCGUUGCAAGGCCUCUGGAGAACUUCAGGACAUGUUGAGGAGGUCAAUUAGCCAUUUGAAUCAGCUGUGUUGGACCAAAGACACAUCUAAAACCUGCAGGACACCGGCCCUCGAGUCCUGGAGUUGGAGGCCCCCUGUGAAUAGAUUUUUCAAGGCAGGACAUUUUGAUUUCCUACAAUGAGCAUGGUUUCCAGUUGCAAAUAUGAGAGGGAAAGCGGGGAGGGAUAAACAAUGCAAAACAGAUACAAAUAUAGCUGAUUGUGAAGUUCAGCUCUCUUUCUCUGUCUGAUGGUCAUGAUGUUUAGACUGAACCAAGGAGCACUUCUCAUUCCGCUAUUAGUGAUGUGGCAUGUCUUUGCAGGAAUCGCUAAAGACGACCACAGAGCUUUGCUGGUGUCCAGAGGAGACUCAGUGACGCUGAUCUGCAACACAAGACAGAAUAAUACAACCCUAAUCACCUGGACCAACGGCAGAUCUGUUUUUCAAUAUUCCAUUGUGCUGAAUAGCACCCAUUCAAAUUUCUCUUUCCAUAAACUGAAAAUAAAUCGUGAGUUACCUGCAAAGCUAAUUAUUUUUAGUGCUCAGCCUGAAGAUGGAGGACUUUAUACAUGCUACAUAACAGACAGAAGUGGUGUAAACAGCAUUACAUGGAAUUUAACUGUGUCUGAGGACCCCAGAGAUUCCAUUUCAUCAAAGUAUUUUCUAUACAUACUCCCAUCUGCAAUUGGAAUCCUUCUAUGUGGCAUCACACUAGCUGUCUUUAUCUGUGGAAAAAUUGUGAUGAAGACACUGAAUCAGGAUCCAGUCCAGGAUCAGUUUCCUCCCCAGUCAGGAGAAGAGGCAGUUCUUCCUCAACCACAGGGUGGCACUAUUUGUUGUAAAAAUAAAAAGCAGAGGCGUCAGUAUAUGGAGAGGGUGAAUACAAUCUAUGAUAAUGUCUAAAUGGAUUAACAAUCCACAAAAGGGAGCACCAUCAGAGGGAGGACAACAGUGCUACUAUAGCCAAUAGAACAAAUCCCUCUGCUUACAAGAAGCAGCCAAUUAGAAGAAGGUUUGUAUUAAAGAACACGAGAAGGGAACUAAACGUGUUGUUUCAGGGACAGGAUGAACUGCAGGCCUACCAAAUAAAUAGGGAUGGUAUGAAACUGUGAAUCAGAACAAGUCAAGUCCAAGUGUAACUUGAAUCCUUAGGAAUUUUCCCUAAAGUUUUCACUUUAUGACAAUAAUGUAUUCUCAGCUCAAGCUCAUUAAUGUUUUUUCCUCCAAGUUUUCAUUAUAAGCUUGUUACAGGGAGAUUGUUCAUUUUUUUUUUUAGCGUGUGUGUGUGUGUGUGUGUGUGAGAGAGAGAGAGAGAGGGAGAGCGAGGGAGGGACUGUUAUUCUGUCUGUGAACAAAAUAACUUGAAAGAAAAAACCUUGCAGAGUGGGGUCAUGUUAACGAUCCUUUAAAAUUUGGCUUAUGUCCACCAAGGCCUUCAAGGUCAACUUAAUGAUGAUUCUUACAAGUGUGGUGUGUAUUGUCAACAUGUAAAAAAAUUUGAAAAAUCUCUAUAAAGGUUUAAAAUAUCAUGCCAAAAUUUUAUUCAAGGUUGUGAUUGCCUGAAGGUAAAAGUAAUAAUAAGGCAAUUCGGAGCUGUUUAAAACUUUGUUUAUUGCUAUCAUUGUUUGUACUGACAACAUAUAAGGGAUAUAAGUGAAAUGGGGUCAAACUUUCAUAAAGGUACUGUCCCCUUAAAUGUAAAAACUGUUCUUCCUUGGUGGAGGUUUGUGCUCUCGGAACACUUCUUGUAAUAUUUAUAUAUUGCAUAAUUUUUAUUUUAUAUUGAAUUAUUGUUUAAAUAUUAUAUUCAUUAUGAUUUAAUUUGUCAUGUGCUUAAACUUCAUGCAUCGUUAAAUGAACUGCUUUUUUGUCCCCUGCAAGUAACCACUUCCUGUUCUUGGCAUCACCUUUACAAGCACAUGUAGACGUGAUGGUGAAGCUUCACUUUGUCUCUCUGUAAUCAUGUUUCAUCCAGAUCAAUCAGAUAUUCUCUUUAAUUCAUUCUUAGCUGUGUGCCAUGUCCUCACAGGUACCGCACAAGUUUUUGAUGCACAGUUUCUGAGUUUAGUAGCAGAAUUUGUUUUCAUUGAAAGCACAGUGUGCACACUGUGCUUUGCCUGUGAGGUAGGAGAAAGGUGAUUAGAGCUGGGUCUACAGCCACACACACUAUGAUUCAAGAUCUUCCUCUGUCUUUAGUGUACCUGACGCUGUAGUGGACUUGUGUCUGAGAAUAAUAACAAACACUGAUCUAUUAAUUAAAUGGACAUUCAUGGGAAUCGAUUACAAUACCUAGUAGAAGAAAAAUGAUAUGGUUAUAUUUGGCAUACCUGUCAUUCAUGAUGAGGCUAUAAUAACUAAAGUAUAGUGAUCGUUUUUUUCUCCAACACCUUUGAAAAGUGUGAGUUUCCUGUUUGUACUUUUUCUUUGCAGUUAAGCUUGUGAGACCCUGUGUGUGGGCAGAAAUAAAGGAAAUGAGAAGCACCUUCUGUACUGCUAGA
Long non-coding RNA from Oreochromis niloticus (Nile tilapia), 2798 nucleotides. The record is from Ensembl. NCBI's taxonomy places the organism in Eukaryota, Metazoa, Chordata, Actinopteri, Cichliformes, Cichlidae.